This 497-nucleotide ribosomal RNA is filed under the name uncultured bacterium. Its description in RNAcentral is "partial 16S ribosomal RNA". It matches the Rfam family "Bacterial small subunit ribosomal RNA", at positions 28 to 507 of the family's 1533-position model. The record is from RNAcentral.
GAUGAACGCUGGCGGCGUGCCUAAUACAUGCAAGUCGAGCGAACGGACGAGAAGCUUGCUUCUCUGAUGUUAGCGGCGGACGGGUGAGUAACACGUGGAUAACCUACCUAUAAGACUGGGAUAACUUCGGGAAACCGGAGCUAAUACCGGAUAAUAUUUUGAACCGCAUGGUUCAAAAGUGAAAGACGGUCUUGCUGUCACUUAUAGAUGGAUCCGCGCUGCAUUAGCUAGUUGGUAAGGUAACGGCUUACCAAGGCAACGAUGCAUAGCCGACCUGAGAGAGUGAUCGGCCACACUGGAACUGAGACACGGUCCAGACUCCUACGGGAGGCAGCAGUAGGGAAUCUGCCGCAAUGGACGAAAGCCUGACGGAGCAACGCCGCGUGAGUGAUGAAGGUCUUCGGAUCGUAAAACUCUGUUAUUAGGGAAGAACAUAUGUGUAAGUAACUGUGCACAUCUUGACGGUACCUAAUCAGAAAGCCACGGCUAACUACGUG